Molecule: long non-coding RNA, 569 nt
Filed under: Manihot esculenta (cassava)
Lineage: Eukaryota; Viridiplantae; Streptophyta; Magnoliopsida; Malpighiales; Euphorbiaceae
Description: long non-coding RNA (MESC_LNC000754)
Source: RNAcentral
AUUUUCGGCAGCCGAAGGUGCAGCCGAAAAUGCCUGAGUUUCGGCUCUGGAGGGACUUUCGGCCGCCGAACUUGCCGCCGAAAGUGCCCUGUCCAGCCUUCUUUUGCUUGUUUUAUGUGAUUGUUUAGGAUGUUUUAGGGGGGUUUUUUGGGGAGUUUUAGAGAGAUGUUCUUGAGUUAGUUUGGUCCCUCAUUUGAGUCCACCUGUGUAGGAACGGACCAGAGGAACCGAAGAGAUCAGCAGUGAGCACUGUCAGAGUCAGUACAGAGUUAGCCAGAGGUGAGUGGAACUAAACUUAAUCUUUCUAAUGCUUUUAGCAUGUUUCAUGCAUCAUGAUUAUGCAAUAGAUUGAUUGCAUUAGAAUUCACGAUUAUGUGCAUUGCAUUAUUUCUUGUAUUUGCGAACGGACAUAGAGCUUGUUUCAUUAGCCCUCCCAGUAAAGUCCUGAGGAGCCCCGAGAGGGCCGGGCACAGAGUACUUCGGUACUAUUGAUUGUAUAGUAAAGUCCUGAGGAGCUCCUUCGCGGGCCGGGCACUGAGGGAUUUUUGAUUUAGUCCGUUCGGUAUGUG